AAAAUAGAACAAAACAACACUCAAGCGAAAUAAAACUGAAAGCCAUAAAAUCUGAAAAUUUAAAUGCAGCGCAUUAUCAUGAUGAUGAGUUGUGCUAACAAAUAACAUGCUUCAUCAACCACACAACAUAUUGCAGAUGGAUUUUUAGAUUUACACAAAAUGAAUUUUUAUUGCCCCAAUCGAAGUUGAAGAUUUUCAAAUGACACCUCACAAAAAUGUGUACGCCAAAGAUUUUAGGAGAUGGUAACAACAAAAAUCCAGAAAAAAGUCCAUCUCUAUAAAAAUCGAAGGUUAAAAAAGGCAAUCAGCUCUUAAAAUUGCUCAGAAGGUCCGUUCUCAGAUUUAUCCAAAGAGGGGUAAUGGAGACACUCGGAAGCUGGAAUUUAUGAAGCUGAUCCCUACACAUUCUCCCAUCCUCUCGGGUUUAAAUUACCGCAAAACUAGCACCCCUAUUGACGUCAAAAAGUUUAUAUUCUAUAAAAAUGAAAUUCCGUUGCAGUUUUUUAUGCAUACCCAAUUUGCUGGUUAUAUUCUUGUCUUCAUUGAAACCGAAUAACAAUCAACAACCAUCCCAAUGUAGUAUUACAGUUGAAUGCAUUUAUGCAAGAUGCUGCGUGUGUGUGGUGUGGAAACCAAAAUAUAAAACCAAAUGGCAUGAUGAACAUAAAAUAAUAAAUGCGACGAUUUACCUCUCCAUACUGAAUACAAUGAAUAUGCAACUACAUAACAUGUGUGUGUGUGAGGUGUGUGAAGUUUUUUCCUCGACAUUCGAAUAUUUAAAUGGGACCUUCACAUAAAAAUCGUUCGUAAAUAGUUCAUUGCGUUCCUUUAAGGAAAAAAAUAGUUCGUUUUUGGGGGCCGAGAUAAUUUUUGUACUAAAAACCAUUUUUGUAAAAUUUCCGCAAAUAAUAAAAUUUUCAAAAAAUUCUUUCACCAAAAAAUCGUUC
This is a long non-coding RNA of Contarinia nasturtii (swede midge), 947 nucleotides long. RefSeq lists it as uncharacterized. Lineage: Eukaryota; Metazoa; Arthropoda; Insecta; Diptera; Cecidomyiidae. The record is from RefSeq and is a predicted model, not a curated record. The transcript is spliced from 3 exons.